This is a long non-coding RNA of Lotus japonicus, 1254 nucleotides long. RefSeq lists it as uncharacterized. The transcript is spliced from 3 exons. Lineage: Eukaryota; Viridiplantae; Streptophyta; Magnoliopsida; Fabales; Fabaceae. The record is from RefSeq and is a predicted model, not a curated record.
UCCAGACUCUCCACCUUCCCUAGAGAAGAACUUCCAGAGAGAGAGAGAGAGAGAGAGAGGAGAGGAGAAGACGAAGUUGUAGAGAAGACGAGCGUGCGUUUGCGAUUUGCCUUUGCUCUCACCGAUCAAGAAAUUACUAGUUUCGUUCAUCUUCAUAUCAUGUGUUGCGCGAUUUAUGGGUCUCCUCUAACCUUCUUCUAAGGACCACAGAGUAAAGGUGAAGGUUCUCUCUGUUUCUCGCUCAGAAAUCCUGGAUGAGGUGUUUUUCGGUGAAGGUUGCGAUGGUGAAGCUUCGAGUUCUGAGAUAGGAGCAAUCGAUGAGUUGGUUACUACCCUAAUCCUUUGAAUUAAACACUGUUGUGAUUGUGAGAAAGUGAUAUGGACAGCAUAUGCAGAUGUGGAAUAAAACACAACAUUAUGGUGCUGUUAAGAUGAUUUGAAAAUCUUGAUUCUAGUUUGAGAAUGAUUAGAGUCGGUCUUGGUUAUGGAAUAAAAGGUGAGAGUAUACUCGUUUGUUUCCCAUUAUCACUACUGCUGACUGAUACCAUGAUUUUUGAACCAUUUUUAUCUAGUUUCUCACCUUAUGUAUUGCACAACUUUCAAUCUCAUGGAUAGUCAAUUUAUUAGUUGCAGAUGGUUCAGACAUUGAUAUCCUAUCUUUUGAUAGUCUUGAUUCUGGUGUCCCUUUGUUGUUGCAGUCCUGUCUUUGUUUUGUUUUUGCGGUGCUUUUUCUGGUGUUUUGCUGCUGCAGUUCUCGAUUUGCAAGCUGUUAUGUUCCUCCUCUCGUUGUUCUUGUUGCAGCAGGCCCCCUUGCUGUCACAACGCUGUUUUUGCUGCGUGUUUUUGCUGUGUUUAUGCUGUUUUAGCUGCUGCAAUUCUGCAAUUUAAGCUGUCCUCUUGCUGGAAUUAUUGCAGUAGGCUGGAGGUCAUGGCGUUUUUACUGUGGAGGUCUUGAAGUAGGAAAAGGCAGCCUUCUUGUUGUUUUGUUUGUUUCAAGUCUUUCCUUGUAUUUUGUUUUGAGUUUUGUUUGUGUGUUGUUUGAUGUAGUUCUUCUUCUUUUCUUUUUGUUGCUAUUAUGUUUUAAUCUGUACUGGAACUUGGGCUUGACCCCUUUAUUUAUAUAUCAAUUUGGUUUUCCAAGAAAAAAAAUAGUAGCAGAUGGGUAUCCUGGUAUUGGUGUUAGUAAUUUGGGCUUAUUUCAUCUCUUUUGGGUAGUAACACCAGCUGUUUGGUGAUAUGCCUGAGAGAGGGGGA